Maylandia zebra (zebra mbuna) is the source of this 1323-nucleotide non-coding RNA. The record is from RefSeq and is a predicted model, not a curated record. NCBI's taxonomy places the organism in Eukaryota, Metazoa, Chordata, Actinopteri, Cichliformes, Cichlidae.
GCCACAUCACUGGAAAAUUUUUGGAUGGGUCCACAAGAGCACAAAGUGCAUACUUUUUGAAGAAAAACAUCUUUCAGAUGUAUGAGAAAUUGAUUGGAGCCUGUCUGGAAAACGGCAGCCACUGGACCUUGUUUUUUUGUGACAUACCCAAGAGGACCAUAGUCUAUAUGAAUUCAUUUGGAGAGUCGGAGGCCAGAAAAAGUGCGGUGUUGAAAAACUGGAGGUAAUUAAUUAACAUAUUUAACAUAACAUAUUUAAUUUAAUUGAAAUCAUUACCGAACGUGGUUAUUGAUUUCUCUAUAUGCUUUUUAUUUGUAAUAACUGCGAUCUCUCAGCUCAUUUGCUUCAGCAAGAGGCUGCACUGGAGAGUGGACUUUGUCACAUGUGAGCCACCCACAUCAACAGGAUGGGAACUCAUGUGGAGUGCAUGUCAUAAUGUUUGCCCAAUCUCUCAUUGACGGUAAAACACAAGUGGAGGAGUACAACACUGAAAUCCCAAAGCUCAGGUCCUGACUUUGCCACUACUUAUUUUCCUCAAUAGGUAAAGAUAGAAUUAGCCGCCUUCUUUUUCUCUAACAUUGGAAAAUGCUGUCAGGAAGUGCAGUCAGUGCUGGUGUGUGAUUGCAGCCAAAGACCGGGUACACUAUGACAUGUCCUUAGCCAUAUAGAUUGUUUAUAUAAUGGACUUUGUUCAUUUGUUUUUUGUUUGUUUAUUUCUUCUUCUUUUUUUUUUAAAUUCACAGGUGCAGUGCCAGAAAUGUGGUGCAUACAAACACAUGCGUUGUUCAAAGUCUGUUUGUGGCAUCUGUAUCUUCUGUGAGAGGCCGUAAAGCCAAACUGCCCGCAAUGAUUCUUGACAGGCCUAAGAAGGCCAAAACUAAAGUAACAGUGUUUAGUGUUCUGAGUGAAGAGGAGGCUGGGGAGCUAGCCCUCAGGUUUGCCGGAAGAUUGGCCUGCGAUGUCACAAGAGACAUGGUCUGUAAAGGCAUCGACCAUUCAAGUGCUGAUAUGACAAAGUAAGUUAGUAAAAUAAUAUGAAAGUUGUAUCUUUUUUUGUAUUAUUUGUCAUUUCCCCGUAUUUGGGUUAUUGGUGUAACAUUGUUAAUCUUACUUUCUAAUAACAGACACACCCUUCGCAAAAUCCAACACAACCUUAAACAUGAACUGACUGAUUCCUCAACCUUCAGUUUGCUGACACACACCUUUGGCCCUGCUGCACUGGAUUCUGUCAUUUUGUUCCUGUGUGAAAAACUUGAUCUUGUCUCUUGAAUAAUGAAACCUUUUGUUUGUUCUGUAAAUCAGAAUCUUGAAAAUUGUUCACUG